This is an RNA transcript of Symphalangus syndactylus (siamang), 6647 nucleotides long. It is a transcript of the gene named zinc finger protein 559, with no coding region annotated. The record is from RefSeq and is a predicted model, not a curated record. Lineage: Eukaryota; Metazoa; Chordata; Mammalia; Primates; Hylobatidae.
GGAAUGGAGAUUGACCUGCCCAUAAGUUCAGACAGUGUCUUGAAGAGACUUUGGGAACAAGAUAUUCAGGCACAUUUCACUGUUAGACUCACAGGAUGCUGGCCAUUGAUCUUUCCCUCUGUGAUCAUCUUUCUCAAGACGUUUUCUGUCUUCAUGAGGCAAAAUUUGAAGAGGAAAGGCUAGUGGCUGGGUGGUUGACAAAUUACUCUCAGGACUCAGUGACCUUUGAGGAUGUGGCUGUGGACUUCACCCAGGAGGAGUGGACUUUGCUGGAUCAAACUCAGAGAAACUUAUACAGAGAUGUGAUGCUGGAGAACUAUAAGAAUCUAGUUGCAGUAGAUUGGGAGAGUCGUAUUAAUACCAAAUGGUCAGCACCUCAGCAGAAUUUUUUGCAGGGGAAGACAUCCAGUGUGGUGGAAAUGGAGAGAAACCAUUUUGGAGAGGAACUGUUUGACUUUAACCAAUGUGAAAAAGCCUUGAGUGAACACUCAUGCCUUAAGACUCACAGGAGAACUUACUUUAGAAAGAAAACCUGUGAGCGUAAUCACUGUGAAAAAGCCUUCAGAAAACCCUCUACCUUUACUUUACACAAGAAAACUGAUAUUGGAGAGGAACUUCCUAACUGUAAUCAAUGUGAAACAGCCUUCAGCCAACAUCUACAUCUUGUUUGCAAGAAAACUAGCCAAAAUCUACAUCUCGUUUGCAAGAAAACUCACACUCAAGAGAAACCAUAUAAAUGCAGUGACUGUGAAAAAGGCUUACCUUCCUCCUCACACCUCAGAGAAUGUGUAAGAAUUUAUGGUGGAGAGAGACCAUAUACUCAUAAAGAGUAUGUCAAAACCUUUUCUCAUUCUACAGGCCUUUUUGUACACAUGCAAACUCAAGAUGGAGAAAAAUUCUGUGAAUGUAAAGCAUGUGGGAAACCCUUCACUCAGUCUUCAUAUGUUACUCAACAUUUAAGAACUCACAGUAGAGUGUUACCUAUAGAACAUAAGAAAUUUGGCAAAGCCUUUGCUUAUUCCCCAGAUCUUGCUAAACAUAUAAGACUUAGAACUAGAGGGAAACACUAUGUUUGUAAUGAAUGUGGCAAAGAGUUUUCUUGUUUCUCAAAACUCAGCAUUCACAUAAGGGUUCACACUGGAGAAAAACCAUAUGAGUGCAACAAAUGUGGGAAAGCCUUCACUGAUUCAUCAGGUCUUAUAAAACACAGGCGAAUUCACACUGGAGAAAAGCCUUAUGAAUGUAAGGAAUGUGGGAAAGCUUUCGCUAACUCUUCACAUCUUACUGUACAUAUGAGAACUCACACUGGUGAGAAGCCUUAUCAAUGUAAGGAAUGUGGAAAAGCCUUUAUUAAUUCCUCUUGCUUUAAAAGUCACAUGCAGACUCAUCCUGGUGUAAAACCCUAUGACUGUCAACAGUGUGGGAAAGCCUUUAUUCGAUCCUCAUUUCUUAUUCGACAUUUAAGAAGUCACAGUGCAGAAAGGCCUUUUGAAUGUGAGGAAUGUGGGAAAGCCUUUAGAUACUCCUCGCACCUUAGUCAACAUAAAAGAACACAUACAGGGGAGAGGCCAUAUAAAUGUCAAAAGUGUGGGCGAGCCUUCACUAUCUCAUCAGGCCUUACAGUACACAUGAGAACUCACACUGGUGAACGGCCCUUUGAAUGUCAGGAAUGUGGGAAAGCCUUUACUCGGUCCACAUAUCUUAUUCGACAUCUAAGAAGUCACAGUGUCGAGAAACCAUAUAAGGAAUGUGGGCAAACCUUAAGUAAUUCCUCAUGCCUUACUGAAUGUGUGUAAAUUGGGGCUGAUACUUGGAAAGAAUGUGGUAAAGCCACUGCUUCCUCACACUUAUUGAACAUGUACUCAUUCAUAGUGGCAAUGUACACAGUCAUAAGGAAUGUGGGAAGCCUUCCUUGGUGUCUCAGAUUUCAACAAUUCCAGUAGAAGAGAAGACAUACGAAUGUAAGGAAUGUAGGAAAGUCUUGGCUCCUUCCAUAGGCCUUACUUACUAUUCAUGUGUCUGUGCAUCCUAGGAAACAAACUGAAUGUGGGAAACCAUCAGUCAAUGCUUACGUCUUACUGAGUCUCUGAACUCAUGCUGGAGAGAAAUGCUAUGAAUGUGAGGAAGGUGGAAAAGCUUUCAUUAUUUUCCUUGGGCCUUACUGAGCUUGUGAGCACAUUGGAUGUAAAUGCACGUCCUCUGGAUGUAAGGAAUGUGUUGAAACCUUUUGCUCUGCCUUAUACCUUAAUAUUCAACUAUGAUCUCACAAGUGUGAAAAAUCUUAUGAAUGUAAGAUGUGUGGAGAUUCUUCUUUGUUUUUAGCUUCCACUUUGGGAACGUGUCAAAGCACACAUUGAGAAGUCCCAUGAGUGAAAGAUGUCGGAAAGCCCUUGAAUUUGGUCAUUAGGAAACAUCCACACUGAAGAGGAACUCUGACUGUAUGGAAGGUCAAAAAGGCUGUAUUAAUUUACACGCAAAAAGUCACACUAGAGGAAUGCCAUAUCAGAAUGCUUUUGUGUGAGUGUCUCAUCUAACAGUCUGAGGACAGGAAGAGCUGUUGCCAGGAAAAGGGGAAGACUUCUUUUGAGAUCCUUGGUAUUUUUAAUGAAGUCUUUGAUAUGGCUUACCCUUCCUACUUGGUGACCCUGUCCUGAAAAGGGCCGGAAGACAGGCUUCGUAGACAUACAUAUUUCAUUUUUCUUGUCUUCAACUUUAACACCACCUCUUCUUUAUCAAAAAUUCCCAGUAAUUCUGAAGGUAAUUCCCCCUUUUUGAUGGAGUUCAAAAACUGCUGACUUGCACCAUUCGAAUAACUUCUGAAAUCAUCAUUGACAGUGAAUCCAUUUUUCUGUAAUUUUAUGUUUACGUCUACCUGUUUCUUCUGUUCAGUGGGAGACAAGCAUUUGGAACCAACCUUCUGAGUUUCCUCAAAAAGGCUAUCAACAAACUAUCUACAAUUUGUUUGUUGAUUAUCACCAAGACGUUGAUUGUCAGGUCCUGUUUCACAAACCCAGUCUUUUAUACUUUCGAGAUUAUCUACGUCUUUCAUUCUCUUUUGCCUUACUCUGAGCACAGCCUCCAAGCCUAGGCCUCACUCAACUCAGGGGCCACCAGCACUGUUUGGCUGGAGCCCUUCAGACCUGGAGUGCCUCGCCCGAGACCACCUCCGGUACCCCGGCUGUGCUGCUGAUAUCCCGCCGGCCUCUCUGUCUCCACCAGGCACCAAGUGUUCACCCACGCCUGCUGCCUGCAGACCUGAGGAGAGCGCAUCGGCUGUUUUUUUUUGUUUUUUUUUUAAGACGAGUUUCGCUCUGUAUCUCAGGCUAGAGUGCAGUGGCAUGAGCUUGGUUCACUGCAACCUCCGCCUCUCGGGGUCAAGCAAUUCUUGUGCCUCAGCCUCUGGAGUAACUGGGACUACACACGUGCGCCACCAUGCCCAGCUAAAUUGUUUUGUAUUUUUAGUAGAGCCGGGGUUUCACUAUGUUGCCUAGGUUGGUCUAGAACUCCUGGGCUCAAGCAGUCCACCCACCUCGGCCUCCCAAAGUGAUGGGAUUAUAGACGUGAGCCACCGCGCCCAGCCUCUGGCAGCUUUUUAGUAGAUUCUAUCAGAUUUUCUACUAGGACAAUUCUGUUGUCUGCACAUAAAAGUUUUUACUUCUUCCUUUCCAAUCUGUAUGCGUUUUGUAUUUUUCUUUUCUUGUUACAUUAACUAGAACCUGCAGUGUAUUGUUAGAUAGAAAUUGAGAGACCAGACAUUCUUGUCUUUUUUCUGGUCUUGGGAGUAAAUCAUUGAAUCUUUUACCAUUUAGUAACUAUCUUUUUAAUCUUUUUUUUGGUAACACCUAUUGGGUGGGAAAUAGUAUUGUUUUUUAUUUUUAUUUCCCUGGUGGCUAAAGAUUUCUAUUAUUUUUUUUCUGGGCUUAGCUCACCUGAAACCUAAAGAUGUUGAUCAUCUUUUCAUCAGUUUGUUGACUAUGUGUCUGUCUUCUUUGGGAGAAUGUCUAUUUAGAUCCUUUGCCAUUUUUAAAUUGAGUUCUUUUUAUUAUUGAGUUUCAAGAGCUCUAUAAAUUCUAGGUACAAAUACCAUAUCAAAUAAAUGGUUUACAAGUAUUUUUUCAUUCUUUGUGUUGUCCUUUCACUUUCUUGAUGGCAUCCUUUCGAGUGUAAAAGUUUUAAAUUUAUUUUUUUCUUAAUGCUUUUGGUGUCAAAUCUAAGAAACCAUUGCCUAACCCAAGGUCAUGAAGUCUUUUAUAUUUUUUCUAGGAUUUUUAUAGUUUCAGCUCUUACAGUUCUGUGAUCCAUUUUGAACUAAUAUUUGUGUAUGCUGUGAACAGUGUAUCCAGCUUCAUUCUUUUGCAUGUAACACCCAGUUACCCUAGCAUAUUUGUUGAAAAGACUGUUUCUCCCAUUGAAUUGUCUUGGCACUCUUGUCAAAAAUCAGUUGACCAUAAAUGUAAAGGCUUAUUUAUUUAUUUGUUUUGAGACUGGGUCCUGCUCUGUUACCCAGGCUGGAGUGCAGUGGUGUGAUCUUGGCUCACUGCAGCCUUGACCUCCCAGGCUCAAGUGAUCCUCCUCGUUGAGCUUCCCAAGUGGCUGGGACUACAGGUAUACACCACCACACCUGGCUAAUUUUUGUAUUUCUUGUAGAGACAGGGUUUCAUCUUGUUGCCCAGACUGGUCUUGAACUCCUGGGCUCAAGCAAUCCUCCUGCCUCCGCCUCCCAAAGUGCUGGGAUUACAGAUGUGAGCUGCUGUGCCCAGCAUUAAGAUUUAUUUCUAGACUCUCAGUUCACCUCCAUUGUACAUGUCUAACCUGUUUGUAACCACACUGUCCUGAUUACUGUAGCUUUAGAGUAAGUUUUGAAAUUGGGAAGCAUGAGCCCUUCUAUAAUCCUUUUUGCAAUGCAUGGGUUGAGGUUACUUUUGGAGGGAGUAGAAGGGAUGUGAAUAUUUUAAUUUUUUUUUUUUCAGGACAAUUGGUUGAAAACAGUCUUUAUUGGAUUAUUUGCACCUUCUUUGAAAAUCAAAUUGAUGACAUAUGUUUAAAUCUAUUUCUGGGAUCUAUUCAGUUCAACUAAUCUAUAUGUCUGUCCUUUUGCUAAUACUACACUUUUUUUUUGAGACAGUCUCACCCUGUCAACCAGACCGGAGUGCAGUGGUACCAUCUCAGCUCACUGCAGCUUCCACCUCCCAGGUUCAAGCCAUUCUUGUGCCUCAGCCUCCCGAGUAGCUGGGACUAUUGUGCCUGAGCCUCCCAAGUAGCUGAGACUAUAGACGUGUGCCACCACACCUGGCUAACUUUUGUGUUUGUAGUAGAGACAGGGUUUCACCAUGUUGGCCAGGUUGGUUUCAAACUCUUGGCCUCGAGUGAUCCACCCACCUCAGCCUCCCAAAGUGCUGGGAUUACAGGCGCGAGCCACCGUAUCUGGCCUGCUAAUAAUACACUUUUUUGAUUAUGGUAGCUCUCUAGUAAAUCUUGAAAGCAAGUGGUGUGAGAGUUCCAACAUUGACGUUAAUUUUCAGAAUCAUUUGGGAUGGUCCAUGUUCUUUGUUUUUUCACGUAAUUUUUUUUUUUUCGAGAUGGAGUCUUACUCUGUCGCCCAGGCUGGAAUGCAGUGGCGCAAUCUCGGCUCACUGCAAGCUCUGCCUCCUGGGUUCACGCCAUUCUCCUGCCCCAGCCUCCUGAGUAGCUGGGACUACAGGCACUCGCCACCAAGCCCGGCUAAUUUUUUGUGUUUCUUUUUUUUGUAUUUUUAAUGGAGAUGGGGUUUCACCAUGUUAGCCAGGAUGGUCUCGAUCUCCUGACCUCAUGAUCUGCCUGCCUCGGCCUCCCAGAGUGCUGGAUUGCAGGUAUGAGCCACCACACCCGGCCUUUUCACAUAAAUUUUAGAGUAAACUUACUGGUUUCCAUAAAAAGCCUGCUGGGAUUUUUUUUUUUUUUUUUUUUUUUUUUACUGAGAUUCAGUUUAAUCUAAAGAUGAAUUAGAGAAUUGGCAUCUUAAUACUGGCUGUUCUGAACCAUAGACACGGUAUAUCUCUGCCAUGGUCUGAAUGUUUGCAUACCCCCAAAAUUUAUAUGGUUGAAAUCCUAAUCCCCAGUCCAAUGAUAUUGGCAGCUGAGGCCUUUGGGAGAUGAUUAGGCUCAUGAGGGCAGAGUACUAAUGAAUUAGAUUGGUGCCUUUAUAAAAGAAAUUCCAGAGAGCUUGCUCAUCUCUUCUGCCUUGGGAGGACACAGCAAGAAGUCACCAUCUGUGAACCAAGAAGUGGGACCUCAUCAGACACCAAAUCUGCCAACAGUUCAGUCUUGGACUUCCCAUUCUCCAGAACUGUGAGCAAUAAAUUUCUGUUGUUUAUAAGCCAUCUAGUCUAUGGUAUUUUGUUCUACCAGCCCAAACGGACUAAGACAAUCUCCCCGUUAAUUUAGGUCUUAUUUCUUUCAACAGUGUUUUGUGGUUUUCUGUAUUGCACCAUUUCAUUGAUGCUAUUAUAAAUGCUAGUUUUAAAUUUUCAAUUUUCCAGUGCUAGUGUAUAAAAUUAUUUAUAUUUGUAUAUAAUUUAUAUUUGAUCUUGAAUCCUGCAAACUUUGUAUAGUUAUCUAUUCCUGUAACUUUUUGGAAUAUUCUACAUAAACAAAUCUUAUGCUCUGUA